RNAcentral lists this ribosomal RNA (498 nucleotides) under uncultured bacterium. Its description in RNAcentral is "partial 16S ribosomal RNA". It matches the Rfam family "Bacterial small subunit ribosomal RNA", at positions 29 to 523 of the family's 1533-position model. The record is from RNAcentral.
AUUGAACGCUGGCGGCAUGCCUUACACAUGCAAGUCGAACGGUAACGCGGGGCAACCUGGCGACGAGUGGCGAACGGGUGAGUAAUGUAUCGGAACGUGCCCAAUAGUGGGGGAUAGCCCGGCGAAAGCCGGAUUAAUACCGCAUGAGACAUGAGGGUGAAAGCGGGGGAUCGCAAGACCUCGCGCUGUUGGAGCGGCCGAUAUCAGAUUAGGUAGUUGGUGGGGUAAAGGCCUACCAAGCCUGCGAUCUGUAGCUGGUCUGAGAGGAUGACCAGCCACGCUGGGACUGAGACACGGCCCAGACUCCUACGGGAGGCAGCAGUGGGGAAUUUUGGACAAUGGGCGCAAGCCUGAUCCAGCCAUGCCGCGUGCGGGAAGAAGGCCUUCGGGUUGUAAACCGCUUUUGUCAGGGAAGAAAUCUUCUGGGUUAAUACCUCGGGAGGAUGACGGUACCUGAAGAAUAAGCACCGGCUAACUACGUGCCAGCCGCCGCCGUAA